Ornithodoros turicata is the source of this 584-nucleotide long non-coding RNA. RefSeq lists it as uncharacterized. The record is from RefSeq and is a predicted model, not a curated record. NCBI's taxonomy places the organism in Eukaryota, Metazoa, Arthropoda, Arachnida, Ixodida, Argasidae. The transcript is spliced from 2 exons.
AUGAGGAAGGCUGACCGUUUAGUUAACCAGUUAUUCACCUAGAAGUGCUGGCGCCACAGCGUCUGGUGAUGGCCUUUCAAGAGACGCUCGUCACAGUCGGCGGGCCGUAACGGUCGGAGCUCCAUUCCCCUUCGUCCGAUUCUGUUCAAAUUUUAGGUGCAUGUUUCCCGUUCCGACCGUGUCCUAUUUGGCUCUUGGAUUCUCAUCCAAGCCGUUGCGAGUGCCAUCUCAGUGCUUGGACGCUUACUUGCUUAUUCUACCCUGCUUCUCGGAGCCAUCUGGACGUAUUUCGCUCCGCUCUGCGUGGGACUUAUAUUUUCGUCGCCGUCUCCAUGCUGUGACAGUGUCUUUGUGCCGUGUCAGUGAUCACUGAAGGUGUUUUGUGUGUGUACCUUAGAAUCAACCUACAGAAGCCGUGGCAGGUGUGUGCGCAUUCCAGAUACCUUCGUCAAAUAUGCAGAAAAAGAAACUAUCGACAUCAAAGGUGCCUGGACAGAAACGGAAAAAGCUCAUCAAAAAGCAUUUGGCAAACUUUCUGAGGGACCUACGUCGCGCCAGUACCUGAAUAAACCGGUAUUUUGUAA